This 817-nucleotide long non-coding RNA is filed under the name Pongo abelii (Sumatran orangutan). Its description in RNAcentral is "lincRNA". Lineage: Eukaryota; Metazoa; Chordata; Mammalia; Primates; Hominidae. The record is from RNAcentral.
CUCCCAGGCACAGAGCUAAAGGGGAAUUGGAGGCUGUGGCGUUCCUCUCUCCGUCCCCCUCUCUCUGGUGACUCGUGAUAAUGAACCGACCUUUUGGAGACAUUCUGUGCCCUCAAUAAAAACGGUCCCUGUCUGGAAACCCCCCGAGGAAACUGACUUCCUCCCCUGCUGCCUGGGCUGCCGUAGCUCUUCCGGCACCUGCUCUUCUGGCACCUGCCCUGUGCUGGCCCCUCCUGCAAGAAUCAGGAGCCCUCAUCUCAGUCCGCGCUGCAGAACCAGCCCAGGAGAGCAGCUGGCCUGUCGUCUGCUGAGGAGCAAAGGUGCGCGGGGACGCGGAGGGGAAGGGGGUCUGGAGUGCUCUGGGGAGACCCUCAGGGACUGCCCUAAUGCUGGCAGCGCCUGGGCCCAGGGCUGAUGGAGGCGUCUCCUGGCCCCCAGGGCUGUGCCCAGGACUGCAAUGGCCUCCCACACCACCUCACAACCCUGGUCCAGGCUCGCUGACAGAUGAGGAAACUGAGGCAGGGACCCUGGUCUCACGGCCAUUGGUGCAGAGCUGGGAUCCAAGACCGGGUGGGCUCUUUGUCAUUGCUUCCUCCGAGGACAAGCCCAGGUUCUCCAGGGUGUGAGGUCCAUGUGUGGCCACAGCAGGCCUUAGAGACAGACAGGCCUGGCGGGGGAGGGGCCGGGCCUGUGCACUGGCAGUGGUGGCACCACGGGGCCCUUGGGGACACCAAGUGAGCUCUUUAAAGUGGCUAAAGUGGUAAACCUUGUGUUUUGUGUAGAUUUUACCAAUUAAAAAAAGGAAAUGUAGGCCGGG